AGUUUGAUCCUGGCUCAGAGUGAACGCUGGCGGUAGGCCUAACACAUGCAAGUCGAACGGCAGCACAAAGGAGCUUGCUCCUUGGGUGGCGAGUGGCGGACGGGUGAGGAAUACAUCGGAAUCUACUCUGUCGUGGGGGAUAACGUAGGGAAACUUACGCUAAUACCGCAUACGACCUACGGGUGAAAGCAGGGGAUCUUCGGACCUUGCGCGAUUGAAUGAGCCGAUGUCGGAUUAGCUAGUUGGCGGGGUAAAGGCCCACCAAGGCGACGAUCCGUAGCUGGUCUGAGAGGAUGAUCAGCCACACUGGAACUGAGACACGGUCCAGACUCCUACGGGAGGCAGCAGUGGGGAAUAUUGGACAAUGGGCGCAAGCCUGAUCCAGCCAUACCGCGUGGGUGAAGAAGGCCUUCGGGUUGUAAAGCCCUUUUGUUGGGAAAGAAAUCCAUCUGGUUAAUACCCGGGUGGGAUGACGGUACCCAAAGAAUAAGCACCGGCUAACUUCGUGCCAGCAGCCGCGGUAA
RNAcentral lists this ribosomal RNA (524 nucleotides) under uncultured bacterium. RNAcentral describes it as "bacterial SSU rRNA". It matches the Rfam family "Bacterial small subunit ribosomal RNA", at positions 10 to 523 of the family's 1533-position model. The record is from RNAcentral.